UAGAGUGUCUACCUUUAUUUUCUUACUGU
This 29-nucleotide non-coding RNA is filed under the name Mus musculus (house mouse). Lineage: Eukaryota; Metazoa; Chordata; Mammalia; Rodentia; Muridae. The record is from RNAcentral.